GACAGAGGUGGCAAGCGUUGUUCGGAUUUACUGGGCGGAAAGAGUGCGGAGGUGGUGAGGUAAGACCUGUGGGAAAGACCUGGGCUUAACCCAGGAAGGUCGCAAGUGACUGCCUCGCUUGAGGACGGGAGAGGAGAGCGGAAUUCCCGGUGUAGCGGUGAAAUGCGUAGAGAUCGGGAAGAAGGCCGGUGGCGAAGGCGGCUCUCUGGAACGUUCCUGACACUGAGGCACGAAAGCGUGGGGAGCAAAUAGG
RNAcentral lists this ribosomal RNA (253 nucleotides) under uncultured bacterium. RNAcentral describes it as "partial 16S ribosomal RNA". It matches the Rfam family "Bacterial small subunit ribosomal RNA", at positions 524 to 776 of the family's 1533-position model. The record is from RNAcentral.